RNAcentral lists this ribosomal RNA (419 nucleotides) under uncultured bacterium. Its description in RNAcentral is "bacterial SSU rRNA". It matches the Rfam family "Bacterial small subunit ribosomal RNA", at positions 358 to 772 of the family's 1533-position model. The record is from RNAcentral.
GGAAUUUUGGGCAAUGGGCGAAAGCCUGACCCAGCAACGCCGCGUGAAGGAUGAAAUCCUUCGGGAUGUAAACUUCGCAAGAACGGGAAGAAUAAGUAAGAGUUAAUAUCUCUUACGAUGACGGUACUGUUUGUAAGCUCCGGCUAACUCCGUGCCAGCAGCCGCGGUAAUACGUAGGGACCAAGCGUUAUUCGGAUUUACUGGGCGUAAAGGGCGCGUAGGCGGCGCGGUAAGUCACUUGUGAAAUCUCUGAGCUUAACUCAGAACGGCCAAGUGAUACUGCAGUGCUAGAGUGUGGAAGGGGCAAUCGGAAUUCUUGGUGUAGCGGUGAAAUGCGUAGAUAUCAAGAGGAACACCUGAGGUGAAGACGGGUUGCUGGGCCAACACUGACGCUGAGGCGCGAAAGCCAGGGGAGCAAA